CACAUCUGUGCUCAACAGUUCAGGGAGCGUCUCGGUCCAGCGGGUCAUUCCUCUGAGCGCCACAUGCUCCACAACAUGAGGACGCAUCUUCCCCCCAUCGUCCGCUUGACAGACGCAGUAAUAAACAAAGCACAAGGAAAACAUCUGGAAUGCUGAAUGGACAUCGUCAUCCUUCAGUGUGUAACACUCGCGCAGUGCUCCUCGCGCCACGCCUACUUCUCCUCUGACCCGCUGCAUCAGACAAACAGGAAACAGAUCACUGGCAGUGAGGGAUGCCCUUCCCCCGGCAUGGAGAGAGGACCCCUGAGGAGACCCUGAGGAGACCCCAUUCAUGCAGUGGGCCGCAUGUCAGAGGGCAAAUGGUGGCCGGAGUGAUGACAUCAUGCGGAUAUGCAAAUCUACCAACAGCCAGACGGCUCGGCCAAUGAGCGAAUUGGGAUUCCGUGGGAGAUUCUUCUCUAUAUUCUGCAACAGUUGACACCCGAGGGCCCAGAGGUCGAUCCAGCGUACGACCUCGCUGCCGCAGAACGGAUCCGUCCAGCCUCCGGUCCACCUGCCGCUCUAAUCCUCCUCUCUCUCCUCACUCGCU
Molecule: long non-coding RNA, 589 nt
Organism: Pseudoliparis swirei
Lineage: Eukaryota; Metazoa; Chordata; Actinopteri; Perciformes; Liparidae
Exons: 4
Source: RefSeq, a predicted model, not a curated record